UACGUAUGGAGCAAGCGUUAUCCGGAUUUACUGGGUGUAAAGGGUGCGUAGGUGGCAGUGCAAGUCAGAUGUGAAAGGCCGGGGCUCAACCUCGGAGCUGCAUUUGAAACUGCAUAGCUAGAGUACAGGAGAGGCAGGCGGAAUUCCUAGUGUAGCGGUGAAAUGCGUAGAUAUUAGGAGGAACACCAGUGGCGAAGGCGGCCUGCUGGACUGUUACUGACACUGAGGCACGAAAGCGUGGGGAGCAAACAGG
Molecule: ribosomal RNA, 253 nt
Filed under: Anaerobutyricum hallii
Lineage: Bacteria; Bacillati; Bacillota; Clostridia; Lachnospirales; Lachnospiraceae
Description: partial 16S ribosomal RNA
Rfam family: Bacterial small subunit ribosomal RNA
Source: RNAcentral